RNAcentral lists this ribosomal RNA (1175 nucleotides) under Mantidactylus grandidieri (Grandidier's Madagascar frog). RNAcentral's name for it is "partial 16S rRNA". It matches the Rfam family "Bacterial large subunit ribosomal RNA", at positions 700 to 2595 of the family's 2925-position model. The record is from RNAcentral. Lineage: Eukaryota; Metazoa; Chordata; Amphibia; Anura; Mantellidae.
UUUUAGUCUGAACCCCCGAAACUAGGUGAGCUACUUCGAAACAGUCUCAAGGACUAACCCGUCUCUGUCGCAAAAGAGUGGGAUGAUUUCCAAGUAGGGGCAACAAACCAACCGCACCUAGAGAUAGCUGGUUACUCAAGAAAAGAAUAUAAGUUCAACCUUAAGCUUUUUAAUUACACAAAAACCCCAUUAAACUUAAGAGUUACUCAAAUAAGGCACAGCUUAUUUGAAACAGGAUACAACCUACAACACAGGGUAAAACUCAUGAACAAGUAACAAGUGGGCCUAAGAGCAGCCACCUUCAAAAAGCGUUAAAGCUUAACACUUAUUCUAAAUUAAUAUCCCCACCUUCCCCGAACCCUUCACCAAUAUUGAGUAACUCCAUAAAAUUAUGGAAGUUAUAAUGCUAGAACUAGUAACAAGAAAUAGACUUUCUCCAAAAUGCAAGCCUAAGCCACAAUAGACAACCUAUUGGCAAUUAACGCAAAUGAAAAUAUUAUAGUAACUCUAACAAGAAAAACCUAUUCCCAUACACGUAACCCUUACACCAGAGCAUUAAUGGAAAGAUUAAAAGAAAAAGAAGGAACUCGGCAANCCCACAGCCCGCCUGUUUACCAAAAACAUCGCCUCUUGACACAAUAUAAGAGGUCCAGCCUGCCCAGUGACACAGUUUAACGGCCACGGUAUCCUAACCGUGCGAAGGUAGCAUAAUCACUUGUUCUUUAAAUGAGGACUUGUAUCAACGGCAUCACGAGGGCUCUACUGUCUCCUUUCUCUAAUCAGUGAAACUAAUCUCCCCGUGAAGAAGCGGGGAUACUACCAUAAGACGAGAAGACCCCAUGGAGCUUUAAACCCAACUACACCCCUACUUUUCACACCCACUCAACCAACAGGGCCCUGUACGCUUGGUUUUAGGUUGGGGUGACCGCGGAGUAAAGUUAAACCUCCACGAUGAACGGGAAUACCCUCUUAUCCAAGAGCCACACCUCUAAGAAUUAGCACACUAACAUAAAAUGAUCCGAUACUCGAUCAACGAACCAAGUUACCCUGGGGAUAACAGCGCAAUCCAUUUCAAGAGCCCCUAUCGACAAAUGGGUUUACGACCUCGAUGUUGGAUCAGGAUAUCCCAGUGGUGCAGCAGCUACUAAAGGUUCGUUUGGUCAACGAUUAAAACC